UACGAAGGGGGCUAGCGUUGCUCGGAAUCACUGGGCGUAAAGCGCACGUAGGCGGAUUGUUAAGUCAGGGGUGAAAUCCUGGAGCUCAACUCCAGAACUGCCUUUGAUACUGGCGAUCUUGAGUCCGGGAGAGGUGAGUGGAACUGCGAGUGUAGAGGUGAAAUUCGUAGAUAUUCGCAAGAAUACCAGUGGCGAAGGCGGCUCACUGGCCCGGUACUGACGCUGAGGUGCGAAAGCGUGGGGAGCAAACAGG
RNAcentral lists this ribosomal RNA (253 nucleotides) under uncultured bacterium. Its description in RNAcentral is "partial 16S ribosomal RNA". It matches the Rfam family "Bacterial small subunit ribosomal RNA", at positions 524 to 776 of the family's 1533-position model. The record is from RNAcentral.